CCCCCUCCAUCCAGCCCCAGCCUUGCCCGGACUUUGGCGGACCCCACAGCCCCUCUCGCAGGCUCCCUUCCUGAGAACAGCCCCAAGGCCAUGAGCCUGGCUGGCCUGCGACUCCCCUGGGGGGCAGCCUGGCCGGGGAGCAGUGUCUUCCUGGGAGCUCAGGAUCCUAAGUCAGGACGGAACCCCCGAGGGUCAGUUGGGACCAGCAAGGAAACUGGAGCUUCCUGGUUUCUUUCAGAUGAGGAAACUGAGGCCAAGAGAGAGCAAAUGAAAGUUCACAAAGGAAGAUCAGCCCUGAGCUAACAUCUGCUGCCAAUCCUCCUCUUUUUGCUGAGGAAGAC
Equus caballus (horse) is the source of this 341-nucleotide long non-coding RNA. RefSeq lists it as uncharacterized. NCBI's taxonomy places the organism in Eukaryota, Metazoa, Chordata, Mammalia, Perissodactyla, Equidae. The record is from RefSeq and is a predicted model, not a curated record.